GGGGAAUUACGUGGUCUAUCAGUGCUGUUACAAUGGUGAUCAGCUUAUUCCACGUUCUUUGACAUCUUAGCAUCCUGUGUGUUGCCAAGCCAGAUAUACGUGGCACUGUCAGCAGAGCAUCCCUGUACCUAUACAUAGCCUUUGCAAAUUUUGUACCGUGAGUAGAGAGGCGCUGAGCACCUUUCAAAUCUGAUUAAUCUUGUCUGUCAGCAAAUAUAUUCUCUGUGCUUCACAGGAGAAGAAACAGAGGUAUAGAGAGACCAGUAUGUUUAGCUGUGAGGAAGGUCAAUGUUCAGACGACCUUCUGCUCUUAGGUUUGUGUACUUCAGCCAUGAAGCCAGUGGUUCCCAAAGUGCUGUGCGUGCUAAUUCAGGAGAGAUGUCCUUCUUCCUGGGAUUUUCCUCCACUGUAUAGCUCAGUGCACUGGGCAUAUUCCCUGCCUCAUGACCUGUGAAGAUGGAAAGAAUCUGGACCGUGCUUUUCUGUGCUUUGUUGCUGCCAAAGCAGCAGGUAGGACACUAGCAUGUCUUUUUGUACUGAGUGUCCUUUUACCUCAUAAAAGGCAAUGCGCCAUCUUAACGUGUGUCAUCUGUCUGCAGAGUGCAGUGCAUGCUUCUCAUUCCAUCUGGAAGCAAAAGCAACAUUUACACCUUUGUGUAAGCGUUAGAUUCCAAACACUAAGAAAGCCAGUGCCACUAAAAGCUUUCAUCCAAAUGGGGUUGGUUGCCUCCAAAGUUUGACUGCAUAGUAGUAUCAAGAAAAGACAAAAACAUUUUCCAUUUCAGGAUCAGAAAUUGAUGGCACAGUACACCAGCGCUCCAGCACCUUAGAGCUAAUCCUUGUCUCUAUCUUACCUUUAAUGUUCGGCUGUGAGACCGUCAGUUGCUAUCAGGACUACUUCCUUUUCCUUUCUCUUCCCAGCCCAAGUGACCAAACUUACCGUGUACUAAUGAAGCUAAUGUUCCUCUUACCUUUCACACACAACUAACGUGGGCUCUGAUCGUGCCGUCAGGUUUACGGUGUCCGUUCCAAAAGGGAACAAGCCUCCUAUGAUAUAAUCACCAGGCCUUCUAAACUGGGCCGAUAGGCAUGUGGGUUUGAGGGCUGCUGCAUAACCAAAGCUCAAGCACAGCAGCAGGUCACCUCACCAGGAGAUAACCAGGUCUUCCUUAGUGCAUUGCAAGAACUUGUCUGGAGCAGGCCAUUCCUGGAUUGCAAAUGAGGCAUCCUGAAUAGCUUUGCCGACUUGUCAGCUCCUUACUGGAAAAGGAAAGGGAGGGUGACCACGGACAGAGAA
Harpia harpyja (harpy eagle) is the source of this 1297-nucleotide long non-coding RNA. RefSeq lists it as uncharacterized. NCBI's taxonomy places the organism in Eukaryota, Metazoa, Chordata, Aves, Accipitriformes, Accipitridae. The transcript has 3 exons. The record is from RefSeq and is a predicted model, not a curated record.